AUGAAUCCCCUUCCCAUACACACAAUCAUCUGCGUUGUUUGUUGGUCAUAUUGGUUAUCCCCAUUCUGUGCACUUUCAUCAUCCAGCAGCCGCCUUCUUCCCGACAAACCGCUUUCAUCAUCCAGCAGCCGCCUUCUUCCCGACAAAACGCUUUCUGCUGGAAGCACCAUCACCUCCCACGACGGCACUUUUGCCCUGGGAUUCUUCCCCCCGUCCAGCUCUGGCACAAAACAUUACUACGUCGGCAUAUGGUACAAGAACAUACCCCAAGAUAACAUUGUGUGGGUUGCCAACCGUGCUAUGCCGAUCGCUGAUCCUUCUUCUGCAACACUCGCCUUCACAAACAGAUCCAAUCUCGCCUUGUCAGACACCAAUGGCCAGCUUUUCUGGACGACAAACAUCAGUGCUGCAGGAAAUUCAUUGUCAGAGGCAACUGGUGGAGAAGCCACGCUUGAGAACAAUGGGAAUUUUAUCCUUUGGUCAUCACAAGGCACCAUCUUAUGGCAAAGCUUCGAUUACCCGACCGACACUCUCCUUCCAGGUAUGAAGCUCAGGAUCACCCACAGGACGCAUGCACUACAACGGCUCAUCUCUUGGAGAAACCCCCAAGACCCAUCCCCGGGCAACUUCUCAUAUGGUGCAGACCCUGAUGAGUUUCUGCAGCGUUUUAUAUGGAAUGGCUCAACACCAUACCGGCGAAGUCCGGUAUGGAAUAAAUUUGUGGAAGUCGGGCAGUAUAUCGAGAGUAUCAAGUCCACGAUUUACUUUACACUACAACCUAUUGAUGAUGAGGUAUACAUUUCCUUUGGACUACCAGCACCAAGCGUCUCCUCGUUAGUGCUAAUGAAGAUGGACUGCUCAGGAAAGAUAAAGAUACGAACCUGGAAUAGCAACAUGUCCAAAUGGACUGACCUGCAGUCAGAACCUAACCAGGAAUGCAACAAAUUUGGUUACUGUGGUCCAUUUGGUUACUGUGACAACACGCAAUCUAUUGUAACAUGCAAGUGUCUUGAUGGCUUUGAGCCAAAUAAUAAACAAGACUGGACGGCCCGCAGGUUUUCGCAGGGAUGCCAACGAAUGGAAGCACUAAGAUGUGCUCAAGGGGAUGGCUUCUUAAAUGUGUCAACCAUGAAGGUUCCUGAUCAGUUCUUGUAUGUCAAGAAUAGAAGCUUAGAUGAAUGCAUAACAGAAUGCACAAGCAACUGCUCCUGCAUGGCAUAUGCUUACGCCAAUAUGGGCACCAAGGUUAUCAAUGGGGAUGAAACUAGGUGCCUAUUAUGGAUUGGAGAUUUGAUUGACACAGAGAAGCUCAUUGGAGAAGGGGAAAACCUCUACAUCCGGGUUAAUGGAUUCAAUGAUAAAAAGCAGAAGAGCGUUGUUUUAAAAAUUACACUGCCAGUCGUGUCAAGUUUGCUCAUAGUCAUAUGUGCGUGGCUUGUUUGGAUCUGCAACUUGGGAGGCAAACAAAAAAACAAGAAAAAUUGGAAGAAGGUGAUGUCAGGAACUUCGAGCACUUCUGUUGAACUUCACGAUGGAAACUUAAAGUAUCCUUUUAUAAGCUUCAAAGAAAUUGUACUUGCAACAAACAAUUUUUCUAACUCCAACAUGCUUGGACAUGGAGGUUUUGGCAAUGUUUACAAGGGGACAUUAGAAGAUGGUACAAAAAUUGCUGUGAAAAGGCUUAGUAAGGGUUCUGGCCAGGGGGUAAUGGAGUUCAGAAAUGAAGUAAUACUCAUUGCGAAGUUGCAGCACCAAAACUUGGUUAGACUUCUAGGUUUCUGCAUCCAUGGAGAUGAGAAACUAUUGAUAUAUGAAUACUUACCUAACAAAAGUCUAGACGCCAUGCUUUUUGAUGCCACAAGAAAAUCAAUGCUUGAUUGGCCGAUGAGAUUCGAGAUAAUCAAAGGGGUAGCUAGAGGACUUCUUUAUCUUCAUCAGGAUUCAAGGCUGAAGAUAAUUCACAGGGAUCUCAAAGCAAGCAACAUAUUAUUAGAUGCCGAAAUGAGCCCUAAGAUAUCUGAUUUUGGUAUGGCAAGGAUAUUUGGUGGCAAUCAGCAGCAAGAAAAUACCAACCGUGUCGUUGGCACAUACGGUUACAUGUCCCCUGAAUAUGUUUUGAAAGGAGUGUUUUCUGUCAAGUCUGAUGUAUAUAGCUUUGGAGUUUUACUACUGGAGAUUGUGAGUGGCUCAAAGAUCAGUUAUGUGCACCUAAAAGCAGACUUCAGCAGCAUUAUAGCCUAUGCAUGGAGCUUAUGGAAGGAUGGGAACACACAGGAUUUUGUUGACUCGUCAAUUGUGGGGAGCUGCUCACUUAAUGAAACUUCACGGUGCAUCCAUAUCGGACUCUUAUGUGUUCAAGGCAGCCCAAAUGCGCGGCCACUCGUGUCAUCAAUCGUGUCCUUCCUGGACAAUGGAGAUAUAUCACUUCCAACUCCAAAAGAGCCCAUGUAUUUUGCAGAAGAUAACUAUGGUACUGACGGAGCAGCAGAAAAUACUGCCAAGUCUGCAAAUAACAUGAGCAUUACAGUACUGGAGGGACGCUAG
RNAcentral lists this ribosomal RNA (2544 nucleotides) under Triticum aestivum (bread wheat). Its description in RNAcentral is "partial small subunit ribosomal RNA". Lineage: Eukaryota; Viridiplantae; Streptophyta; Magnoliopsida; Poales; Poaceae. The record is from RNAcentral.